CCUACGGGCGGCAGCAGUAGGGAAUUUUCGUCAAUGGGCGCAAGCCUGAACGAGCGAUGCCGCGUGAGUGAAAAAGGCCUUCGGGUCGUAAAGCUCUGUUGCGGGGGAAAAAAGGCAGCAUCAGGAAACGGGUGCUGACUGAUGGUGCCCCGCCAGAAAGUCACGGCUAACUACGUGCCAGCAGCCGCGGUAAUACGGAGGUGGCGAGCGUUACCCGGAAUGAUAGGGCGUAAAGGGUGCGCAGGCGGUCCUGCAAGUCUGGAGUGAAACGGAGGGGAGCAACGCAUGCAUGGAUUGGGAAACUGGAGGACUGGAGAGCAGGAGAGGGCGGUGGAACUCCAUGUGUAGCGGUAAAAUGCGUAGAUAUAUGGAAGAACACCAGUGGCGAAGGCGGCCGCAUGGCCUGUUGCUGACGCUGAGGCACGAAAGCGUGGGGAGCAAAUAGGAUUAGAUACCCUAGUAGUC
Molecule: ribosomal RNA, 465 nt
Filed under: uncultured bacterium
Lineage: Bacteria
Description: partial 16S ribosomal RNA
Rfam family: Bacterial small subunit ribosomal RNA
Source: RNAcentral